This is a long non-coding RNA of Lates calcarifer (barramundi perch), 2110 nucleotides long. RefSeq lists it as uncharacterized. The record is from RefSeq and is a predicted model, not a curated record. Lineage: Eukaryota; Metazoa; Chordata; Actinopteri; Centropomidae. The transcript is spliced from 5 exons.
GGCGGAGACACAAAGUCGGGGAAAGCAGAUUUAAACCAAGUCUGAGACGUUGCCUCUGUUUGCCAGUACUGUGCCAAAACGUCGUUACCGAGGAGGUCUGGAUGCUAAAACAAACUCUGGAGCUGCUUUUUUGUUGAACAAGAGUGAGACUAGACGCAGGACACACCUGCGGCGUGAAGGUUUACUCAGCUGCUGCAGUCUGGACAGAAACACCAGCUCUCACCUUACAAACAGGUGUCACCAUUUCAUCCACGAUUACAGUGUGUCUUGGUACAGUGAAGAAGAUCUUUGAAACCAGGACUGAAUCUUCCAGGAUUCAAACUUCAACCAUUAAAUCACUGAGAGAAGAGACAGAUGUGAGGACGUUUCCAGAAGGUCUUCAGCUGCUGUCAUCUUCUCCAGCAGAGACAAGAACAUGUGUUAAUCACAGAAACUGAUCAAUUAAUCUGUUUCUUCUUACUUAAUUACAAUAAUUUAAACUUAACUUUUCUCAGUAACACAUUGUGUAUGUUUUUAUGAUUAUCAUAGUCACAAUGAUGAUUAGAAAUAGUCCUGAAAUUUUAUAUAAAUUAAUAACCUAUUGUAAUGAUUACAGUUAUCUCUCAAAUUUCACAGAGACAGAUAAACAUAAACCAUGCAAUAAAUACAACAAAAUAAAACUGUCUACUGCACAGACAUUACAGAAGUUUCUGACGCCUUACUUUACAAUGACAUGUGGCUUAAGACAAAGGUAGUGUCUUAAAGCAGUCAUUUUGGCAUUUUGCUAUUUCAAACAGUGCAAUAUCAGUACUCAGAUCCAGUCUAUUACUGUGUUCAUGGUCCUGUUUAUUUAUAUCACGCUAUUUCCUAUUUCUGCUGCUGCAACACUGAAUUUCCCCACUGUAGGACUAAUAAAAGAUUAUAUUACCAGUCUGUUUAAUAUUGUAUAAAAGUGAAUAUUUUUAGCCAGAUGUUAGGAGUACUAUGACAUUUUAACACCUAACUAUACUAUGACAUUGUUUUUACAUUCAUGAUAUUUUGUAAAAAUAUUCACUUUGUAAAUUUCCCCAUUGUGGGACUAAUAAAGGAUUAUCUUUUACUGUGUAAUGCAUUUGGUUUUUGGCACCUUAGAUACUGUGACAUUUUCACCUUAUUGUUAGAUUGCUAUUACUUGUGCAUCACUUUUACUGAUUACUUUUACUAUAAAUUUUUCACUACAAAAAUGACCCGCUGCCUGUCGCAGACAUCAAAAAUUGUGGUGUCAACUUUGUCAAAGAAUUCACUCAAAACCUGUCCAAAUCCACUUGAAAUAACAUAAAACAUGCCCCUGACUAAGUUUUACAUACCCCUGAGUAAUUUUUAGGUGAUAAAUCUAGACCUGAAAUUUUGACCUUUUUUCACUCCAAACGAUGACCCGCCGCCUGUCGCAGACAUCAAAAAUUGUGGUGUCAACUUUGUCAAAGAAUUCACUCAAAACCUGUCCAAAUCCACUUGAAAUAACAUAAAACAUGCCCCUGAGUAGUUUUUAGGUGAUAAAUCUAGACCUGAAAUUUUGACCUUUUUUCACUCCAAACGAUGACCCGCCGCCUGUCGCAGACAUCAAAAAUUGUGGUGUCAACUUUGUCAAAGAAUUCACUCAAAACCUGUCCAAAUCCACUUGAAAUAACAUAAAACAUGCCCCUGAGUAGUUUUUAGGUGAUAAAUCUAGACCUGAAAUUUUGACCUUUUUUCACUCCAAACGAUGACCCGCCGCCUGUCGCAGACAUCAAAAAUUGUGGUGUCAACUUUGUCAAAGAAUUCACUCAAAACCUGUCCAAAUCCACUUGAAAUGUUGUGAUGUGUUCUAUCUGUAUUUGCUGCUGGAAACGUAAUUUCCCCGAGGUAGUCAUCCCAAAGGGAUCAAUAAAGUCUAAGUCUAAGUCUAAUUUACUUUUAAUACAGAUUAUUAAUACAUUACUACAUUAUUAUUUUGUUUCAGAUUAUUUCUAUUAGUACAUUGUUGGUACUUGAGUUACAUGGUUUUUGUUUAGCUCUGUGACAUUUGAGAGACAGUUCAAGUAUCUCUGUCUUUCAUAAUUAUAUUUUUAUAACUUUAUAAAUUGUUUGUUGAGAUGAGGUUUCAGAAAUAUAA